UGUGUAGGCGGCUCCCUAAGUUUGGUGUGAAAUCUCCCGGCUCAACCGGGAGGGUGCGCCGAAAACUGGGGGGCUAGAGUGCGGGAUGGGAGAGUGGAAUUCCUGGUGUAGCGGUGAAAUGCGUAGAUAUCAGGAGGAACACCGGUGGUGCAGACGGCUCUCUGGACCGUAACUGACGCUGAGACACGAAAGCGUGGGUAGCAAACAGGAUUAGAUACCCUGGUAGUCCACGCCCUAAACGAUGCAUAUUUGGUGUAGGUCAUUCAGUUGAUCUGUGCCGGAGCUAACGCGUUAAAUAUGCCGCCUGGGGAGUACAGUCGCAAGGCUGAA
RNAcentral lists this ribosomal RNA (330 nucleotides) under uncultured bacterium. Its description in RNAcentral is "bacterial SSU rRNA". It matches the Rfam family "Bacterial small subunit ribosomal RNA", at positions 568 to 898 of the family's 1533-position model. The record is from RNAcentral.